RNAcentral lists this signal recognition particle RNA (300 nucleotides) under Microcebus murinus (gray mouse lemur). RNAcentral describes it as "Metazoan signal recognition particle RNA (ENSMICG00000041680.1)". It matches the Rfam family "Metazoan signal recognition particle RNA". From Rfam's summary of the family: The signal recognition particle (SRP) is a universally conserved ribonucleoprotein. It is involved in the co-translational targeting of proteins to membranes. Lineage: Eukaryota; Metazoa; Chordata; Mammalia; Primates; Cheirogaleidae. The record is from Rfam by way of RNAcentral.
GCCGGACGCGGUGGCGCGCGCCUGUAGUCCCAGCUACUCGGGAGGCUGAGAUGGGAGGAUCGCUUGAGCCCAGGAGUUCUGGGCUGUAGUGCGCUAUGCCGAUCGGGUGUCCGCACUAAGUUCGGCAUCAAUAUGGUGACCUCCCGGGAGCGGGGGACCACCAGGUUGCCUAAGGAGGGGUGAACUGGCCCAGGUCGGAAACGGAGCAGGUCAAAACUCCCGUGCUGAUCAGUAGUGGGAUCCCGCCUGUGAAUAGCCACUGCACUCCAGCCUGGGCAACAUAGCGAGACCCCGUCUCUU